This 463-nucleotide ribosomal RNA is filed under the name uncultured bacterium. Its description in RNAcentral is "bacterial SSU rRNA". It matches the Rfam family "Bacterial small subunit ribosomal RNA", at positions 342 to 797 of the family's 1533-position model. The record is from RNAcentral.
UUGGAGGCAGCAGUGGGGAAUUUUGGACAAUGGGCGCAAGCCUGAUCCAGCCAUGCCGCGUGAGUGAAGAAGGCCUUCGGGUUGUAAAGCUCUUUCGGUGGGGACGAAACGGUUCGUGCUAAUACCACGAACUAAUGACGGUACCCGAAGAAGAAGCACCGGCUAACUACGUGCCAGCAGCCGCGGUAAUACGUAGGGUGCAGGCGUUAAUCGGAAUUACUGGGCGUAAAGCGUGCGCAGGCGGUUUGCUAAGACAGAUGUGAAAUCCCCGGGCUUAACUUGGGAACUGCGUUUGUAACUGGCAAGCUAGAGUGUGGCAGAGGGGGGUGGAAUUCCAAGUGUAGCAGUGAAAUGCGUAGAUAUUUGGAGGAACACCGAUGGCGAAGGCAGCCCCCUGGGCUAACACUGACGCUCAUGCACGAAAGCGUGGGGAGCAAACAGGAUUAGAUACCCCCGUAGUCCG